RNAcentral lists this small RNA (126 nucleotides) under Salmonella enterica subsp. enterica serovar Typhimurium. RNAcentral describes it as "RtT RNA". It matches the Rfam family "RtT RNA". Rfam says of the family: This family represents a bacterial cis-regulatory element known as RtT RNA. The exact function of RtT is unknown although it is thought that it may be involved in changing the cellular response in relation to amino acid starvation. The record is from RNAcentral. Lineage: Bacteria; Pseudomonadati; Pseudomonadota; Gammaproteobacteria; Enterobacterales; Enterobacteriaceae.
UUGCUAUCUGCGAUAUGGAAGAUUCGAACCUGUCGCAGGUUCGGGUCUUGCCUGAUGAGACAACGGAGCCGUUUACGGCGACGGCCCGAAGGGCGAGCGAAGCGAGUCAUCCUGCACGACCCACCA